This is a long non-coding RNA of Ochotona curzoniae (black-lipped pika), 994 nucleotides long. RefSeq lists it as uncharacterized. The transcript has 2 exons. The record is from RefSeq and is a predicted model, not a curated record. Lineage: Eukaryota; Metazoa; Chordata; Mammalia; Lagomorpha; Ochotonidae.
CUUUCCAAUAAAAAAAAAAAUAAAAUAAAUCUUAAAAAAAAAACAUUGCAGGGCCUUACACACAUAUACAUACACUCGUGAACCCACUUGGAACAGUGCUGUGGACACACUCGUGAACCCACUCGGAACAGUGCAGGACCUGCUGCUGCUCAGGAUAGCUACACCAGAGUGUUUGUGAUCCAGGACCUGGCUCUACUCAGUUCCAGCAUGUACCCUGGAAAGCUGUGUGCGAUGGCUGAGACCAUGGGAGGCCUGCCUCAACUGUAGCUUGUUUCAGCCUGGUCCAUGGUGGUGGCCGAGUGAACCAAUGAGUGGAUGGUAUCUCUCAGAAGAUUCAAAAAGGCAGCAGUCAGCAGGACAGGGGAGAGACUGGGACCACAGCCAUCGCAUAGACCUGUGAGGUUCACAUGUAGGUCAUCAUUGCCAGCACAGGCUGGGUCAGUAUGCCUGGGACAUUCUUCGCUCCUGCUGUUAACUAUCUCCUAAGAACACAGUCGGCUGUAAAGCUCAAGAAAUUGGAAAUGAUCCCUGGCCACAAAACAAAUUAGGGUUCAGUGGCUAAAAGGAACUGUGAAAAAUCCCUGGUACUUGGAAGUUAUUACUCACCUGCAGUGAAAUGUCAUGUUUGAGUGCUGGUUCAAGUCCUGCUGCUCUCUUCCAGCCCAGCUUUUUGCCCGUGCACCUGGGAAGGCAGUGGAAGAUGCCCAAAGACUUGGACCUCUGCCACCAACUGGGAAACACAAAUGGAGUUCCUAGUACUUGGCUGUGGCCUGGCCCAACCCUGGUGGCUGUGGCUGUUUGGGGAGAUCAUUGUCUUUCCUUCAACCUGGUUGUCUUUCAAGUAAGCAGAUAACUUUAAAAAGAUAAAUAUGAAAAAGUCUUAGUGUCUGAAAAGACUUAAGACUUCACAAUAAGAAAACAAGCAUGAAAAUGGCCCAAAGACCUUAAUAGACACCUCACCAAAAGAUACACAGAUAGCAGAUAGGCACUUAUU